GGAUGUGAGGAUAAUCUGGCAACGACUCGUGAUACCCCAUUGAAGGCCAGCAUUGAUUUUGUUGAUCUGACUAGCUAGGUGGCUAUUCCCUUACUCCCUCAACUCCCCAAUGGAAUCAAUCUCAAAGCUACACAGUCAGUCCAAGAAGAUGAUCUCCCUGGAAUACAGUCUUUAGUCAAGCAUAUACAAGUAGCUGAGCUCCCAUGCUCGAACACCCAAACAAUAUCCUCAUAGAGAGGGUUAUGGACCUAAGAAAUUUUUAGGGUUACAAAUUUCCAGGUCACCU
Molecule: small nuclear RNA, 286 nt
Filed under: Mus pahari (shrew mouse)
Lineage: Eukaryota; Metazoa; Chordata; Mammalia; Rodentia; Muridae
Description: sRNA (MGP_PahariEiJ_G0008398.1)
Rfam family: 7SK RNA
About the family: 7SK was discovered as an abundant small nuclear RNA in the mid-70s but a possible function has only recently been suggested. Two independent studies have found that 7SK RNA binds the CDK9/cyclin T complex (known as elongation factor P-TEFb).
Source: RNAcentral